RNAcentral lists this ribosomal RNA (522 nucleotides) under uncultured Glomeromycotina. RNAcentral describes it as "SSU rRNA". It matches the Rfam family "Eukaryotic small subunit ribosomal RNA", at positions 569 to 1092 of the family's 1831-position model. Lineage: Eukaryota; Fungi; Glomeromycota. The record is from RNAcentral.
AGCAGCCGCGGUAAUUCCAGCUCCAAUAGCGUAUAUUAAAGUUGUUGCAGUUAAAAAGCUCGUAGUUGAAUUUCGGGGUUAGUAGGUUGGUCAUGCCUCUGGUAUGUACUGGUCUCACUGAUUCCUCCUUCCUGAUGAACCUUAAUGCCAUUAAUUUGGUGUUUUGGGGAAUUUGGACUGUUACUUUGAGAAAAUUAGAGUGUUUAAAGCAAGCUAACGCUUGAAUACAUUAGCAUGGAAUAAUGAAAUAGGACGUUCGAUCCUAUUUUGUUGGUUUCUAGGAUUGACGUAAUGAUUAAUAGGGAUAGUUGGGGGCAUUAGUAUUCAAUUGUCAGAGGUGAAAUUCUUGGAUUUAUUGAAGACUAACUACUGCGAAAGCAUUUGCCAAGGAUGUUUUCAUUAAUCAAGAACGAAAGUUAGGGGAUCGAAGACGAUCAGAUACCGUCGUAGUCUUAACCAUAAACUAUGCCGACUAGGGAUCGGAUGAUGUUAAUUUUUUAAUGACUCAUUCGGCGCCUUACG